AUAUCAAUAUGGGGCCUUUGGUUUCAUAAUUGGAAUGGGUGCAAAUUAAAACUCUGCACGAGGAUCAAUUGGAGGGCAAGUCUGGUGCCAGCAGCCGCGGUAAUUCCAGCUCCAAUAGCGUAUAUUAAAGUUGUUGCAGUUAAAAAGUUCGUAGUUGAAUUUCUGGACGCGACGGCGGUCCGCCUUCGGGUGUGUACUUGCUGUUCGCGCCCAAACCUUGCGGAGAAGGCGUGUGGCCUUAACUGGUUGUGCGUUCGGAUCCGCAUCAAUUACUGUGAGCAAAUUAGAGUGAUUAAAGCGGGCAUUUCGCUUGAAUACAUUAGCAUGGAAUAAUGAGAUAGGACUUUGGUGCUAUUUCGUUGGUUGCGUGCCAAAGUAAUGAUUAAUAGGGACAGUUGGGGGUAUUCAUAUUUGAUUGUCAGAGGUGAAAUUCUUGGAUUUAUCAAAGAUGAACAACUGCGAAAGCAUUUACCAAGGAUGUUUUCAUUAAUCAAGAUCGAAAGUCAGGGGAUCGAAGAGGAUUAGAUACCCUCGUAGUCUUGACCAUAAACUAUGCCGACUCAGGAUUGGCGGUGUUCUUCAAUGUCGCCGCCAGCACUGUAUGAUAAAUCAAAGUCUUUGGGUUCCGGGGGGAGUAUGGUCGCAAGGCUGAAACUUAAAGGAAUUGACGGAAGGGCACACCAGGAGUGGAGCCUGCGGCUUAAUUUGACCCAACACGGGGAAACUUACCAGGUCCAGACAUAGUAAGGAUUGACAGAUUGAGAGCUCUUUCUUGAUUCUAUGGGUGGCGGUGCAUGGCCGUUCUUAGUUGGUGGAGUGAUUUGUCAGGUUAAUUCCGGUAACGAACGAGACCUCCGCCUGCUAAAUAGUCACGUGAUGCUUUGCAUCCACGGGCGACUUCUUAGAGGGACUACGGGCGGUGAGCUCGCGGAAGUUGGAGGCAAUAACAGGUCUGUGAUGCCCUUAGAUGUUCUGGGCCGCACGCGCGCUACACUGACUGGUUCAGAAAGCUUUAUCCUUUGCUCCGAAAGGCAUGGGUAAUCUUUAGACGCCAGUCGUGAUGGGGAUAGAUUCCUGUAAUGAUAAUCUUCAACGAGGAAUUCCUAGUAAACGCAACUCAUCAGGUUGCAUUGAUUACGUCCCUGCCCUUUGUACACACCGCCCGUCGCACCUACCGAUUGAAUGGUCCGGUGAAACUCUCGGAUCGUGGUCGUUUGCCUUUUCACGGAGGCGUCGAUCGCGAGAAGUUAUUUUAACCUUAUCAUUUAGAGGAAGGUGAAGUC
This 1283-nucleotide ribosomal RNA is filed under the name metagenome. Its description in RNAcentral is "SSU rRNA". It matches the Rfam family "Eukaryotic small subunit ribosomal RNA", at positions 477 to 1790 of the family's 1831-position model. The record is from RNAcentral.